AUACUUACUUGGCAAAGGAGAUACCAUGAUCAUGAAGGUGGUUUUCCCAUGGGGAGACUCAUCCAUUGCACUGUGGAUGUGCUGACCCCUGCUAUUUCCCCAAAUGCUGGAAACUCAACUGCAUAAUUUGUGGUAGUGGGGGACUGCGUUUGUGCUUUCCCCUG
RNAcentral lists this small nuclear RNA (164 nucleotides) under Chrysemys picta bellii (western painted turtle). RNAcentral's name for it is "U1 spliceosomal RNA (ENSCPBG00000025748.1)". It matches the Rfam family "U1 spliceosomal RNA". Rfam says of the family: U1 is a small nuclear RNA (snRNA) component of the spliceosome (involved in pre-mRNA splicing). Its 5' end forms complementary base pairs with the 5' splice junction, thus defining the 5' donor site of an intron. Lineage: Eukaryota; Metazoa; Chordata; Testudines; Emydidae. The record is from Rfam by way of RNAcentral.